AGUGAACGCUGGCGGCACGCCUAACACAUGCAAGUCGAACGAUCUUUGGCAGUUUAUCGUCAGAGGUAGUGGCAAACGGGUGAGUAAUACGUGGACAAUCUUCCCUCGAGCGGGGGAUAACUCCGGGAAACCGGAGCUAAUACCGCGUGAGACCACGUCCUGGCAUCAGGAUGGGGUUAAAGCUCCGCAAGGGGCACUUGAGGAGGGGUUCACGGCCUAUCAGCUAGUUGGCGGGGUUAAAGCCCACCAAGGCGACGACGGGUAACCGGUCUGAAAGGACGACCGGUCACAAUGGCACUGAGACACGGGCCAUACUCCUACGGGAGGCAGCAGUGGGGAAUUUUGCUCAAUGGGGGAAACCCUGAAGCAGCGAUGCCGCGUGGAGGACGAAGGUCUUCGGAUUGUAAACUCCUUUUGCUGGUGAAAAAUAGCGGCGUGAAUAACGCCGACUGAUGGUAACCGCGAAUAAGCCACGGCUAACUUCGUGCCAGCAGCCGCGGUAAU
RNAcentral lists this ribosomal RNA (504 nucleotides) under uncultured bacterium. RNAcentral describes it as "bacterial SSU rRNA". It matches the Rfam family "Bacterial small subunit ribosomal RNA", at positions 29 to 524 of the family's 1533-position model. The record is from RNAcentral.